CAGCAGCCACGGUAAUACGUAGGUGGCAAGCGUUGUCCGGAAUUAUUGGGCGUAUAGGGCUCGCAGGCGGUUUCUUAAGUCUGAUGUGAAAGCCCCCGGCUCAACCGGGGAGGAUCAUUGGAAACUGGGAAACUUGAGUGCAGAAGAGGAGAGUGGAAUUCCACGUGUAGCGGUGAAAUGCGUAGAGAUGUGGAGGAACACCAGUGGCGAAGGCGACUCUCUGGUCUGUAACUGACGCUGAGGAGCGAAAGCGUGGGGAGCGAACAGGAUUAGAUACCCCCGUAGUCCCUGUCUCUUAUAU
Molecule: ribosomal RNA, 301 nt
Filed under: uncultured bacterium
Lineage: Bacteria
Description: partial 16S ribosomal RNA
Rfam family: Bacterial small subunit ribosomal RNA
Source: RNAcentral